Molecule: ribosomal RNA, 253 nt
Filed under: uncultured bacterium
Lineage: Bacteria
Description: partial 16S ribosomal RNA
Rfam family: Bacterial small subunit ribosomal RNA
Source: RNAcentral
UACGGAGGGUGCAAGCGUUAAUCGGAAUUACUGGGCGUAAAGCGCACGCAGGUGGCUGAGUCAGUCGAUUGUGAAAGCCCUGGGCUUAACCUGGGAAUUGCAGUCGAUACUACUCGGCUCGAGUAUGGGAGAGGGCAGUGGAAUUCCCGGUGUAGCGGUGAAAUGCGCAGAUAUCGGGAGGAACAUCAGUGGCGAAGGCGGCUGCCUGGCCCAAUACUGACACUCAGGUGCGACAGCGUGGGGAGCAAACAGG